CUUCUUCACCCCGGGCAGAUCGGCUUUGAUGACAUGGGCCUCCGGUGUCUCCUUCCAGUCGAAACGAGCGCUGGCAAAGGCAGAGGUCUCGCCGGAGAGCUGAGAGAGGGCACCAGUGUGGCGGCCAAGGAAGGGGUCGAAGAGGUCGAGGGAGAAGGGAUCGAAAAUGUUGCUCCUGCGGACUAUUGACAUGUUGAUCUAAGAUUGGUGAGAGAUGGAG
RNAcentral lists this unclassified non-coding RNA (220 nucleotides) under Hevea brasiliensis (rubber tree). Lineage: Eukaryota; Viridiplantae; Streptophyta; Magnoliopsida; Malpighiales; Euphorbiaceae. The record is from RNAcentral.